This 440-nucleotide ribosomal RNA is filed under the name uncultured bacterium. RNAcentral's name for it is "bacterial SSU rRNA". It matches the Rfam family "Bacterial small subunit ribosomal RNA", at positions 338 to 795 of the family's 1533-position model. The record is from RNAcentral.
CCUACGGGGGGCAGCAGUGGGGAAUAUUGCACAAUGGGCGAAAGCCUGAUGCAGCAACGCCGCGUGAGCGAUGAAGGUCUUCGGGUCGUAAAGCUCUGUCCUAAGGGAAGAAUACUGACGGUACCUUAGGAGGAAGCCCCGGCUAACUACGUGCCAGCAGCCGCGGUAAUACGUAGGGGGCUAGCGUUAUCCGGAAUUACUGGGCGUAAAGGGUGCGUAGGCGGCCCUUCAAGUCAGAGGUGAAAGGCUACGGCUCAACCGUAGUAAGCCUUUGAAACUGUAGGGCUUGGGUGCAGGGGAGGGGGGUGGAAUUCCCAGGGGAGGGGUGGAAUGCGUAGAUAUUUGGAGGAACACCAGGUGCGAAGGCGGCUCUCUGGACUGUAACUGACGCUGAGGCACGAAAGUGUGGGGAGCGAACAGGAUUAGAUACCCUAGUAGUC